Molecule: ribosomal RNA, 253 nt
Filed under: uncultured bacterium
Lineage: Bacteria
Description: partial 16S ribosomal RNA
Rfam family: Bacterial small subunit ribosomal RNA
Source: RNAcentral
UACAGAGGGUGCAAGCGUUGUUCGGAAUUAUUGGGCGUAAAGGGUGUGUAGGCGGUUUGUUAAGUCUUCUGUGAAAUCUACGGGCUUAGCCUGUAACGUGCAGAGGAAACUAGCAGGCUUGAGUGUCGGAGAGGAUAGGGGAAUUCCCGGUGUAGAGGUGAAAUUCGUAGAGAUCGGGAGGAACACCAGUGGCGAAGGCGCCUAUCUGGCUGACAACUGACGCUGAGACUCGAAAGCAUGGGGAGCAAACAGG